UAGGGAAUCUUCGGCAAUGGACGAAAGUCUGACCGAGCAACGCCGCGUGAGUGAAGAAGGUUUUCGGAUCGUAAAACUCUGUUGUUAGAGAAGAACAAGGACGUUAGUAACUGAACGUCCCCUGACGGUAUCUAACCAGAAAGCCACGGCUAACUACGUGCCAGCAGCCGCGGUAGUACGUAGGUGGCAAGCGUUGUCCGGAUUUAUUGGGCGUAAAGCGAGCGCAGGCGGUUUCUUAAGUCUGAUGUGAAAGCCCCCGGCUCAACCGGGGAGGGUCAUUGGAAACUGGGAGACUUGAGUGCAGAAGAGGAGAGUGGAAUUCCAUGUGUAGCGGUGAAAUGCGUAGAUAGAUGGAGGAACACCAGUGGCGAAGGCGGCUCUCUGGUCUGUAACUGACGCUGAGGCUCGAAAGCGUGGGGAGCAAACAGG
Molecule: ribosomal RNA, 429 nt
Filed under: Gemmatimonadota bacterium
Lineage: Bacteria; Pseudomonadati; Gemmatimonadota
Description: Gemmatimonadetes bacterium partial 16S ribosomal RNA
Rfam family: Bacterial small subunit ribosomal RNA
Source: RNAcentral